GUUUUAAUAAUUUAUAAAAAAUACUGGUCUUGUAAACCAGAAAUGAAAUAGCUUUCUUAAAACU
This 64-nucleotide transfer RNA is filed under the name Tenuibranchiurus glypticus. Its description in RNAcentral is "tRNA-Thr". The record is from RNAcentral. Lineage: Eukaryota; Metazoa; Arthropoda; Malacostraca; Decapoda; Parastacidae.